Molecule: ribosomal RNA, 253 nt
Filed under: uncultured archaeon
Lineage: Archaea
Description: partial 16S ribosomal RNA
Rfam family: Archaeal small subunit ribosomal RNA
Source: RNAcentral
CACCAGCGCCACAAGUGGGGGCCGGUAUUAUUGGGCCUAAAGCGUCCGUAGCCGGAUUUGUUAAUCCUUUGUGAAAUUGUAGGGCUUAACCUUACAGCGUGCAGAGGACACUGUAGAUCUAGAGACCGGGAGGGGUCAGAGGUAUACAUGGGGUAGCGGUAAAAUGCGAUAAUCCUUUGUAGACCACCGGUGGCGAAGGCGUCUGACUAGAACGGGUCUCACGGUGAGGGACGAAAGCUGGGGGAGCGAUCCG